GCGGCUAUGGUGGAAUUGGUAGACACGCAGCCUUGAGGUGGCUGUUUCGCAAGAAGUGGAGGUUCAAAUCCUCUUAGCCGCACCA
RNAcentral lists this transfer RNA (85 nucleotides) under Candidatus Deianiraea vastatrix. RNAcentral describes it as "tRNA-Leu". It matches the Rfam family "tRNA". From Rfam's summary of the family: Transfer RNA (tRNA) molecules are approximately 80 nucleotides in length. The record is from RNAcentral. Lineage: Bacteria; Pseudomonadati; Pseudomonadota; Alphaproteobacteria; Rickettsiales; Candidatus Deianiraeaceae.